AUUGAACGCUGGCGGCAGGCCUAACACAUGCAAGUCGAACGGUAACAGGAAGCAGCUUGCUGCUUCGCUGACGAGUGGCGGACGGGUGAGUAAUGUCUGGGAAACUGCCUGAUGGAGGGGGAUAACUACUGGAAACGGUAGCUAAUACCGCAUAACGUCGCAAGACCAAAGAGGGGGACCUUAGGGCCUCUUGCCAUCGGAUGUGCCCAGAUGGGAUUAGCUAGUAGGUGGGGUAACGGCUCACCUAGGCGACGAUCCCUCGCUGGUCUGAGAGGAUGACCAGCCACACUGGAACUGAGACACGGUCCAGACUCCCACGGGAGGCAGCAGUGGGGAAUAUUGCACAAUGGGCGCAAGCCUGAUGCAGCCAUGCCGCGUGUAUGAAGAAGGCCUUCGGGUUGUAAAGUACUUUCAGCGGGGAGGAAGGGAGUAAAGUUAAUACCUUUGCUCAUUGACGUUACCCGCAGAAGAAGCACCGGCUAACUCCGUG
RNAcentral lists this ribosomal RNA (490 nucleotides) under uncultured bacterium. RNAcentral describes it as "partial 16S ribosomal RNA". It matches the Rfam family "Bacterial small subunit ribosomal RNA", at positions 30 to 507 of the family's 1533-position model. The record is from RNAcentral.